Molecule: ribosomal RNA, 292 nt
Filed under: uncultured bacterium
Lineage: Bacteria
Description: partial 16S ribosomal RNA
Rfam family: Bacterial small subunit ribosomal RNA
Source: RNAcentral
GUGUCAGCAGCCGCGGUAAUACGAGUGGUGCAAGCGUUAUUCGGAAUCAUUGGGCGUAAAGGGUGUGUAGACGGUAUGCUAAGUCAGUUGUUUAAUUAUCCGGCCUAACCGGAGGCCAGCAGCAGAAACUGGUAUGGUAGAGGGUGGAAGAGAGGAGUGGAAUUCUCGGAGUAGCGGUAAAAUGCGUAGAUCUCGAGAGGAACACCAAUGGCGAAGGCAGCUUCUUGGUCCAUACCUGACGUUGAGACACGAGAGCGUGGGGAGCAAACAGGAUUAGAUACCCUCGUAGUCC